Drosophila guanche is the source of this 915-nucleotide long non-coding RNA. RefSeq lists it as uncharacterized. NCBI's taxonomy places the organism in Eukaryota, Metazoa, Arthropoda, Insecta, Diptera, Drosophilidae. The record is from RefSeq and is a predicted model, not a curated record. The transcript has 4 exons.
GGCCGAGCGAACAGCUGCCGCCAAUUCGCUUCUUCUUUUUGGUCGAGCACGCAGCCCUGGUCGACGUCAAGAAUAUGCUGUCAUCUCUAAAAUAUUAGGUCAUUCGUGAAAUGCCAGACCCCCUUGAACAGUCGAAAUAAAGAUCAACGAAGAAGGUGAAAAAGGCUGCAUUGAAAGAGCCUUUAAGUUCGAACCUUAUCUCCUCCGUUUCAUGGCUUCGAGUUUUUGUCAGAUGCCCUGGUUACCAAAACAACAAAAGCAGCGACAAAUCCCAAAUUGCAUCGCUAAUAAGCGCACAACGGAAUUAGGACAUGUCCAAGACCUUAAAUCUGUACUGUACCCUGUCACCGAAGAACUGCAGUACAUCUGCAGUUUAGCUGCAAGUAUUGGCAGUUCGCAGGUUGAUUGAGCGAUAGGAAGCACAUGUGGAUGUUGACAGCUGAAAUGCUCUCAAAUGCUUUCCAUUGGGACAGGAUCGGAUGGUUACCUUGGCCAUGAGCAAGGAUUCGUAUGCAUAUAGGAUCAAGCGGUGCACUGAGAAGAAAAUCGAAAACGAACGCGUCUCUCGCAGCUCUAAGAUUCACGGAUGGCUGAUGAGCCCGGUUCGCCAAUCGAUAUCCCAACAUUGGGAAACCUAUGUGUUCCAGUUGGAGCGUGAAUGCCCCGUCACCACAACCCUCUUCCCGCAGAAACGUUGAUGGGUCGUUGAUUCAUGCAAACUUGGGUGUACCUUUGAUCUGGAUAACUAGUUCCACAUCGAAGUUACCGAUUUCCACUCAGAAUAAUGCCAAGUCGGAUUAGAGCACAGGUUAAGAUUAUAACACAAAACAUACACAACAUUAAAAAAAUAUGUAGAUUUUGUAUAUCAAUAAAAAGUGUAGCUACUUUCACAAUGCUCGGAUAAUGCUGAUGGAA